CCAGACUCCUACGGGAGGCAGCAGUGGGGAAUAUUGCACAAUGGGGGAAACCCUGAUGCAGCGACGCCGCGUGAGUGAAGAAGUAAUUCGUUAUGUAAAGCUCUAUCAGCAGGGAAGAAAAUGACGGUACCUGAGUAAGAAGCCCCGGCUAACUACGUGCCAGCAGCCGCGGUAAUACGUAGGGGGCAAGCGUUAUCCGGAUUUACUGGGUGUAAAGGGAGCGUAGACGGCAGUGCAAGUCUGGAGUGAAAGGCGGGGGCUCAACCCCGGGACUGCAUUGGAAACUGGCAUGCUGGAGUGCCGGAGGGGCAAGCGGAAUUCCUAGUGUAGCGGUGAAAUGCGUAGAUAUUAGGAGGAACACCGGUGGCGAAGGCGGCUUGCUGGACGGUAACUGACGUUGAGGCUCGAAAGCGUGGGGAGCAAACAGGAUUAGAUACCCCGGUA
This 444-nucleotide ribosomal RNA is filed under the name uncultured bacterium. RNAcentral describes it as "bacterial SSU rRNA". It matches the Rfam family "Bacterial small subunit ribosomal RNA", at positions 331 to 792 of the family's 1533-position model. The record is from RNAcentral.